CCGCACUGGCGCUUGCCUCCUCCGCCUCAGACUCUUGCUCUUGCUGGACCUUCCUCAGCCUCGCCGGCGCCCGGCCCCUGGGCUCUCCAGACAAAGCUGACCCCGUGGCCCAGAUAAGGACGUCCGGCAGAGGAUCCAGUUUGUGUGUUCUCUAUGCAAAUACCGGACCUUCUAUGAGGACGAGAUGGCCAGCCAUCUUGACAGCAAGUUCCACAAGGAACACUUUAAGUACGUAGGCACCAAGCUCCCUAAGCAGACGGCUGACUUUCUGCAGGAGUACGUCACCAACAAGACCAAGAAGACAGAGGAGCUCCGAAAAACUGUAGAGGACCUUGAUGGCCUCAUCCAGCAAAUCUACAGAGACCAGGAUCUGACCCAGGAAAUUGCCAUGGAGCAUUUUGUGAAGAAGGUGGAGGCAGCCCAUUGUGCAGCCUGCGACCUCUUCAUUCCCAUGCAGUUUGGGAUCAUCCAGAAGCACCUGAAGACCAUGGAUCACAACCGGAACCGCAGGCAAAAAUACCCAACAGUGACAACAUCCAGUGCUGAUGGGCAGGCAGGAGGACCAGGUCAUUGUUUUAACACAGGUGGAAGAAGCAUGACUUGCAAAUGUUCUGCAGUUAAUUGGGCACUAUCACUUUAAAACCAAACCUGGUUAGAAUGAAAAGCACCAGCAUGGAAG
RNAcentral lists this small RNA (679 nucleotides) under Pongo abelii (Sumatran orangutan). RNAcentral describes it as "processed transcript". The record is from RNAcentral. Lineage: Eukaryota; Metazoa; Chordata; Mammalia; Primates; Hominidae.